CAGUAACUGUAUAUUACAACAGCUGAAAGCUGCUUGGUUGAGUACUCUGCCUUGGAGUAGAGCUGCUUGCAACACUGAAUUGAAUGAGAAGACUUCUGCAGAUGCAGAGAGGGUGAGGCUACAAUCCUACACUGAUUUACCUGGGAGUAAAACCCCCUGAACUUGAUGCGGCUUACUUCUAAGCAGGUGGCACUCAGAAACAGUCCCAGAAGCAUGUCUGACUCACCAGCCACUAUGCACCUAACUUAAAACUAUUCACUCUUUGUGUUGUACCUGCGAAAAUCCAG
Molecule: long non-coding RNA, 287 nt
Organism: Lacerta agilis (Sand lizard)
Lineage: Eukaryota; Metazoa; Chordata; Lepidosauria; Squamata; Lacertidae
Exons: 3
Source: RefSeq, a predicted model, not a curated record